This 314-nucleotide unclassified non-coding RNA is filed under the name uncultured fungus. RNAcentral describes it as "sequence contains ITS1, 5.8S rRNA gene". The stretch from base 266 to 314 matches the Rfam family "5.8S ribosomal RNA", at positions 1 to 49 of the family's 154-position model. Lineage: Eukaryota; Fungi. The record is from RNAcentral.
UUUCCGUAGGUGAACCUGCGGAAGGAUCAUUAACACGUUUUCCAACGUAUUUUGACCCAUUCUAUUUUCCGUGAACAACAACAAAACCGGCUUCUCUGCCCUUGGUUUUUUGAACUUCGGCGUGGAGGCGUUCUUUUCUACUUGGUAUGCACUUCGGUGUGUGCCGGUGUCUUGAACGUUUAGCCAACCAAACCCCAAACCCUUAAAUCUAAUUGCUCUGAAACUAAAAGUUGAUGGAAACAUCAACGAGUUGAAACUAAACAACAACUCUUAACAACGGAUAUCUUGGUUCUCGCAUCGAUGAAGAACGCAGC